GGAGUACACUGAUGGCAUGGAAGUAAUAAUCUUGACUGACAGCUUUCCAAAUCCUUAAAAGUCUUUCUAACACAGUUCAGAUCACAUUACGCAAUUGUACUUAUGGGCAGUUAAAGACAUGCUGAUGAAUUUAUCUGAAAGAAAUAAUCACAUUCAAAAGAAGCGGGACAGCCCAGCUCAAGAUGGCUGCCCCAUCAAAUAAUAAAAAAGCUAGCUUAGAAGUUCUCCUUGUGGUGCAGCAGGUUAAGGAUCUGGUGUUGUCACUGCUACGGCUCAGGUCACUGCUGUGGCACAGGUUCGAACUCUGGCCCCGGGAACUUCAGCACGCCAUGGGCAUGAUCAAAAAAGAAAAAAAGGGAGUUCCCGUCGUGGCUCCAGGGUUAACAUACCCGACUAGCAUCCAUGAGGAUUCGGGUUCAAUCCCUGGCUUGCUCAGUGGGUCAAGGAUUCGGUGUUGCCGGGAGCUGUGAUGUAUGUGGCAGACACGGCUCGGAUCCUGUGUUGCUGUGGCUCUGCUGUAGACUGGCGGCUACAGCUCUGAUUCAACCCCUAGCCUGGGAACCUCUAUAUGCUGCAGGUGCAGCCCUAAAAAGACAGAAAAAAAAAAAAUUAAGAAAGAAAAGAAAAAGGAAAAAGGGGGACAAAAGAUAUCCUAAAAAGAAUUGGUUUAAAACAACUCUAACAACAAGAGAGGUGUUAUUAACAAAGAAAUCUCAACUAAUUUUGGAUGCCAAAAGCAGAGCACAGGAAAAAAGCCCAGGUAAAAAUGUCCUCGACCUUGACAGUGAUGGCAGGGAUGACAGAAAUUUGAAGGAGUGGAGGGAGAGGAAAGUGCAACUAUGCUAACAACUGCCUGGCACCAGUAGAAUACCAGUGCUCACCGGCCAGACUUUCUAUACACUAAUCAAUGUAACUACUAAAAUAACUAAACACAAGGACAGAAAGUCAGGAGGGGGAAGGGGGAAGGAGGUGGAGUAAAAGCAUUAAAUUCCUCAACUUUCUUAUCAAGGAGUUGACAGAUACUAUCUAAUGUUGAGAAAUCAAGAAGUGAUUUGGAGUUGUUCAGAUAACCACCAAAAGCAGUCAAACUAGGCACGAUUACAAGUGUUUGCCUCUGAGGCAUCGACUGGCCAAAGGAGGAACAAAGGACAGGAGGAUUUACUUUUCAUUUUAUACCUUCUGGCCUGUUUGAUUUUGCUAAACAAGGGUAUUGAGCAUUUUUAUAAUGAAAAAAUUAGAAGAUAAAUACCUGAACAGAGAAAUAUUCUGAGUUUAUAAGAAAACAAGAAUGAGUUAUUUGACAGAUUAGGUGGGGGAAGGGAAAGCAACACACAGAACAAUACCUGAAAUACGACCCUGUUGUGUUUCUUAAAAUAUUUUUGUUGAUAGUAUAUGUUUGUAAGUGCAGAGAAAAGCCUUUAACAAUGGUUUCCAUUGGAGGAAUGGAGAGGGAUUGAUGAGAAGAGAUGAAAAGAGAAUCAUUUUUUCCUCUUAAUGUACUUCUGAAUUAUUUGAAAUGGUUACCAGGAGCCUAACUCUUGCAAGCUUAAUUUAUUAAAAUGAAUAAAUUAAUCAAGAAAAUAGCAGAAAUACUUUAAUGUCUUAAUAUAGGUCUACACACAUAUGUAUCCAUUUGUCCACUUAACAAAUAUAUAAUGAAUUCUUUCUGUGGGCUAUGCCUUGUACUAAUCACUGGUGAAAAGGCAAUAAAUAAGACAAUCACUUGCCUUGAAGGAAUUCGUAGUCAAAUGGCUCAAAGGACAACAAACACAUAAUUAUGAUACAGGGUGAUACGUGCUUUGAUUGAUGUAGGCAGAAUGCUGUGUAUGAAAGAGUUAAUCCACCCUAAGGGUAGAUGGAGUUGGGGGGCUGUGUUAGGCAUCCUGAAAAUGGAGGACAGCAUUACAGUGUCAAGGCACAGGUGGAGUGUGCACUUCUGUGGGUAUUUUAUGCACAAGUAUUUGUAUGAAGUAAAAGCAAGUCAGUCCUGCCAAGAGCAGAGUGAUAACCACAUAGCGCCAUGGCUGACAUUAGAGCGUCAACACUUGGCUCUGUUUCAGGAGCUCCAAAUGACCCCAAAAUCCAUGUAUUCAAUGAGGCUCUGGAGGGUCCGAGGGAGGAAAGAUGAAUUCUCAGGUUUCCAAGUGAUCCAAACUCCCUGAGAAAUUGGGGUGGGGGUGGGGGUGGUGGUGCCCAAUGAGGUAUGACCAGCACAGCCUAAAAGACAAAUAUUUGCAUAAUGGCUGAGCGUCUUCCCUUUGAAGAUCCUAAAGCACUUUUGCAAAUCAAGACUCUCCUUUUACAGAUGACAAGCCUGAGGCUAAGAAAGCCAUUUCCCCAAGUCACACGGACAGGCACUUGGAGAAACCAAACAGACCACACCAUUUCUGGCUGCCCUCUUUGUUCUCGUGUUCCGAUCGGGCCCCUCCCUCCGACACUGUAGAUGGUGGAGAGGAAAGUCAAAGUGAUUCGACUGGGGUCAGGGUGGGGGUGUUACAGAAUUUGGUGUUAACAAGCACUGUUUCCUGAGCCCUGUUUGCAUGCACACCUAGUGUUCCGGAGACACCGCAUGUGGUUUCCAAGGCAGGCAGGCCUUGGCAAAGCCCCCAGCAUUUCAAGUCUGCACGCGUCUCCAAGGUGCCACGAUGUGCAACGCCUUCCUGGCAGGUUAGCUAUGCCCUGCAGUACUUUCGGUUGGUUUUUAUGGUCUUUAAAGCCACCAAGAAAGUCAGCGGGCCUGGAAUUCAAACUUCGGAACUCUUCGACUCUGUUGCUGAGAUUUCAGUGUUCAAACCUGUUUCUUUUUGCAACAGGAGUCUCAGCGUUUAAGACAAGAUAAAUGUGAUAAGACAAUGGCAGAGGAAAUUGUGGGUUUAUGUCUCCAGGUGGGCUAAUUUCCAAAUUACACUAGAGAAAAUGGCUCUGGAUAAUUUCGCAGGUUUCCUCCAUGGUUGCACCUGCAAAAUUUAAUUACACGGUUAUUUAUUUAUUUAUUUAUUUUUCCACAGCAAAGAUAUCACUGUAAUUGGGAGUUGCUUGACUUAGCCAGACUUGUUUCUUGUAAGGCCCAGGAGAAACAGUUUUAUCCUGGGAAUGAAUAAGUGAUGACGUGAGGCUAUCUGACAUAAUUACUCUGCAGAUUUCAGGUUGCUUCAUUUUAUCGGCAAUGAAAUCACGGGAAGAAUACUUGGGUGAAGACUUUUGAUCUUCACCACGACUGACUCAUGGUUGUCUUCACUGAUUCUGAGAUGAGGACAUUCAUGAAAGCGCCCGAGACCAUUAAAGUUCCAUCUAAAUGGAGGGAUUGAAGUUGGGGGGUGAUUAAUUUAAUAUUGGUAGUUACUAUGAAUAUCUUACAUGGGCAAAUUCAAAUCAUUCUCAUAAAUAUUUAUUGAGUACUUUCUGGGUUCAAGGCUAGAAGGGCAUACUGUGAAACAUAAAAUUAAAAGAAAAACAAAGAAGGCCUGCCUUCAGAGCACCUGUGCUCUUGAGAAUUAGGAAUGUUUUCCUGAAGAGACUACGUACAGUAAAAUAUGUGUUAACUCGGACCCGUUUCAAAUAUGAGUUCAUCUUUCUUAAAUGACUGCUGGCAUUUCAGGUCACUGCACUUGCCCGAAGGCCAGUGAUACAGAAGCUCGUGGCAGUGUGGCACCAGGAUUAAUUUUUUGAACCCAUAUCUGAUGUCAGCUUGUUAUUUGUCAGCUUUUAUAAAAAAAGUAGAGAGGGAGUUCCCAGGCUAGGGAUCCAGUCCGAGUUGUAGCUGCCAGCCUACACCACAGCCACAGCAACUCGGGAUCUGAGUCGUGUCUACGACUUACACCACACCUCAUGGCAAUGCGGGAUCCUUAACCCACUGAGCGUGGCCAGGGAUCAAACCCACAACCUCAUGGAUACCAGUCAUAUUCAUUUCCCCUGAGCCCCGAGGGGAACUCCCUUUGCAUGAUUCUAAACAUACUGAAUUUACCUAAAAUGCAACUAGCAUGUACAUGGAAAGAAAACUGUGCUUUGCAGUAUGCAAAACUUCCCAAGAGCCCUUCACCAUUUGGUAGAUGCCGAUCUCAGCAUCACCGUUCUGGAAACACACAUAUCAGACGGAAUCUGUACCACUCACUUCCUGGUGAUCCCAUAGAGAGCCAGCUUGUAUGUAACCAGCUUCAAAAUAAAUUACUUUCCCGUUACUAAAGGAGAAGUCCUUUAACAUUAUAAGUAAGGCGAUGUAACAAAUUUUUUUUAAUUGUGGUAAAACACAAAUAAUAUUUACCGUCUUAACUAUGUUUAAGUAUACAGUUCAGUGGUAUUAAAUACACUCACAUUGUUAUGCAACCAUCCAUCCAGAGAACUCUUUGGAAACUCCUUUCAUUUGCAGAACUGAAAUGCUAUACCCAUUAAACAACUUUCCUUUUCUCUCCCCGCUGGCAACCACCAUUCUACCUUCUGUCUCUGACUUUGACGACUCUAGUGCUCACAAUUUAAUGAUUUUUGAGAGUCUGUGUGUAGAUAGGUUGUAGUAUCUAUGACUUUUGUGGCAGAAAAGCAAGGAGGAGUUACAAGGUUAUCUGUUAUGAAAAGGAGGCAUUGAGGGUGCUAGGUAGGGGCUCUCAGUAUCUAUGAAUCAGCUCACAGAACCUUUGCAAGAUCUGUAUCUUAGAAAAUCAACCUUUAGGAGUUGCCGUCGUGGCUCAGUGGUUAACGAAUCCGAAUAGGAACCAUGAAGUUGCAGGUUCAAUCCCUGGCCUCUCUCAGUGGGUUAAGGAUCUGGUGUUGCCCUGAGCUGUGGUGUAGGUUGCAGACCUGGCUCGGAUCCUACGUUACUGUGGCUCUGGUGUAGACUGGCAGGUACAGCUCCAAUUAGAACCCUAGCCUGGGAACCUCCAUAGGCCACAGGUGUGGCCCUAGAAAAGGCGAAAAGACCAAGAAAGGAAGGAAGGAAGGAAGGAAGGAAGGAAGGAAGGAAGGAAGGAAGGAAGGAUAGAAAGAAAGAAAGAAAGAAA
This 4991-nucleotide long non-coding RNA is filed under the name Sus scrofa (pig). RNAcentral describes it as "lncRNA (ENSSSCG00050010880.1)". The record is from RNAcentral. Lineage: Eukaryota; Metazoa; Chordata; Mammalia; Artiodactyla; Suidae.